CCGGCUCUCCCUGAGCUUUGUCUUGACGUCUCCCUCUCCCUCUCCACUUGCCACCAUAGCUGCUUACUUCUCACCUAACCUCUGAAGCCACGUCUCAAGUCCCACCUCUUGUGGGGAUCCCCGCUGUACUUCAGCCCUGGCAGAAUUCAGGCCCUUCAUCUCUGUUGUCCUCACAGGAUUCCUUUCAUUCCUCGGCUGUAAUUGUCACCAUCCGUGUUUCGUGGUCGCCCAACUGUGAGCUCACUGGGGCCGAUAACUGCGUCUGACUCCUCUGGCUGUCUUCACACCUGUAAGAAUGGCUGCCCGCUUACGAGGCUCUCAAAGGAUCCACAAUCUGAGAUUUGGAUGAAGAUUGUCCAAUCAAUCCUUCAUUUUGUGGAUGAGGUUGUGGAAACAGAAAAGCUAGAGUGACUUGCUUGGGAUCACAAGUAA
This 432-nucleotide long non-coding RNA is filed under the name Ictidomys tridecemlineatus (thirteen-lined ground squirrel). RNAcentral's name for it is "lncRNA (ENSSTOG00000034904.1)". Lineage: Eukaryota; Metazoa; Chordata; Mammalia; Rodentia; Sciuridae. The record is from RNAcentral.